AAUAGAUACCCUGGUAGUCCACGCCGUAAACGAUGAGUGCUAAGUGUUAGGGGGUUUCCGCCCCUUAGUGCUGCAGCUAACGCAUUAAGCACUCCGCCUGGGGAGUACGGUCGCAAGACUGAAACUCAAAGGAAUUGACGGGGGCCCGCACAAGCGGUGGAGCAUGUGGUUUAAUUCGAAGCAACGCGAAGAACCUUACCAGGUCUUGACAUCCCGCUGACCGCUAUGGAGACAUAGCUUUCCCUUCGGGGACAGCGGUGACAGGUGGUGCAUGGUUGUCGUCAGCUCGUGUCGUGAGAUGUUGGGUUAAGUCCCGCAACGAGCGCAACCCUUGUCCUUAGUUGCCAUCAUUCAGUUGGGCACUCUAAGGAGACUGCCGUACAAAUACGGAGGAAGGUGGGGAUGACGUCAAAUCAUCAUGCCCCUUAUGACCUGGGCUACACACGUGCUACAAUGGACGGUACAAACGGUUGCGAAGUCGCGAGACGGAGCCAAUCCGAGAAAGCCGUUCUCAGUUCGGAUUGGGGUCUGCAACGUCCG
Molecule: ribosomal RNA, 540 nt
Filed under: uncultured bacterium
Lineage: Bacteria
Description: bacterial SSU rRNA
Rfam family: Bacterial small subunit ribosomal RNA
Source: RNAcentral